AUGAACGCUAGCGGCAGGCUUAACACAUGCAAGUCGAGGGGUAUAGUUUUUCGGAACUAGAGACCGGCGCACGGGUGCGUAACGCGUAUGCAAUCUACCUUUUGCAGAGGGAUAGCCCAGAGAAAUUUGGAUUAAUACCUCAUAGUAUAGCGACAUCGCAUGAUGAUGCUAUUAAAGUCACAACGGCAAAAGAUGAGCAUGCGUCCCAUUAGCUAGUUGGUGUGGUAACGGCUUACCAAGGCAACGAUGGGUAGGGGUCCUGAGAGGGAGAUCCCCCACACUGGUACUGAGACACGGACCAGACUCCUACGGGAGGCAGCAGUGAGGAAUAUUGGACAAUGGGCGCAAGCCUGAUCCAGCCAUGCCGCGUGCAGGAUGACGGUCCUAUGGAUUGUAAACUGCUUUUAUACGAGAAGAAACACUCCAACGUGUUGGAGCUUGACGGUAUCGUAAGAAUAAGGAUCGGCUAACUCCGUG
This 477-nucleotide ribosomal RNA is filed under the name uncultured bacterium. Its description in RNAcentral is "bacterial SSU rRNA". It matches the Rfam family "Bacterial small subunit ribosomal RNA", at positions 29 to 507 of the family's 1533-position model. The record is from RNAcentral.